Long non-coding RNA from Vulpes vulpes (red fox), 2205 nucleotides. The record is from Ensembl. Lineage: Eukaryota; Metazoa; Chordata; Mammalia; Carnivora; Canidae.
GACCUGGAGAAGCCAACAGCCAUUGCCUACCGCAUGAAAGGGGGAGGCCAGCCUGGUGGAAGCGGCAGUAGCAGCACUGAAGACCCCCCCAGGAGGCCUCCAGAGCCAAAGCCAAAGCCAAAGCCAAGUCAGUGCCUACCCCUAGAGUGGUUCCAGGGUGGGCAAGGGGAGGGGGCCCUCCUCCUGGUUCUCAGGGGCAGAAUGGAGGCAGCCACUGGCCCGUUGGGGCUGAGACAGCCGCAGGGUGGGGGUUAGCUAGGGAAUCCCCACUUCCCCCCAUGUCCUGCCCCUUGGGAUCCAUGCCCUCUGACAUGGCUCCCCGCAGUCCCAGGCCUGGAUGCCUCCACACUGGCUCUGCAGCAAGCCUUCAUCCACAAACAGGCCGUCCUACUGGUGAGUGCUAGCUGGGCUGUGGGAGGUGCCCUGAGCACAGGCCUGCUUGGUCACCACCACCACCACCUCUCCUCAGGCCCGGGAGAUGACCCUACAGGCCAUGGCACUCCAGCAGCAGCCGCUGGGUCCCACCCCAAGGCCCUUGCCUCCAGAGGUGAGCCUGGCCUACCCAGCUGAGCACUGUGCUACUCCAGGGUCUCACCGUGCCUCUCUGGGGUAGUAGCCUCAAGCCCAUUCUGGGCAAACACAGGGUCCCCAAGAAUAGGCCAGUGUGUCCCAGGAAGCAUACUCUACUCUUCAUUCUCUGCAGAAACCCCUAGCACCAGAGGCACAGCCCAAGUUUGUGGGCACUGGACCCCCAGCCAAGCCUGUGCUCCUGCGCUCUGCUCCAAAGCCUUUGGCCCCAGCCCCUCUGGCCAAGGCCCCAAGACCCCCCACCAAGCCUGUGGCUGCCCCCAUUCUAGCUCAGGACCGGGUUUGUCCAGAAACCACUUCGCCCUGCCCAGAUCUCGUCCGGUAUUCAACGCUCAACUCGGAGCACUUCCCUCAGCCCACACAGCAGAUCAAGAACAUCGUGAGGCAGUACCAGCAGCCACCCCGGGGAGGCCGGCCCGAGGCCCUCAGGUCAGCUCUGCCCCCACCCCAGCCCUCUGGGCCAGUGGCCUCCUCACCACACCUGAGUGGCCACCAGCUGGGUGCUCCCUGCCCAGCAACCUUCAGGGAGUGAGUUUUUUUAUGCAGAAGAUCCAGAUGAGCCUUUGGAUGGAGAAAGAAAGGCCCAGACCAUGCUCUAGGUUGUGCUGUGUGACCUCAGACCAGUCUAUAAUCCUCUCUCGGUUUUCAUGUAUGAUGAUAGAGAUGGGGGUGGAGGAAAAAGUUCCCUAUUCUAGAACUCUGUGGCUGGGAAGAAGAAAUUCCUAUGCAAUCCACCAGGAAGGAUGGUGGAAAGGUGUUUGUGAAGCGGCCAGACCCUCACGAGGAGGCCCUGAUGAUCCUCAAAGGGCAGAUGAGCCACCCAGCAGCAGCAUCUGGCAGCCAGGUGAGGGGCGGCUUUGGGCUGGGCCCAGACAGGACAAAAGACAAAGUGUCAGAGAGCCUCAGAAACCAGCUGCCCCUGUCAGCUAUGACCCUGCUGCUGCCCCAGACCCUGUCCCCUCCCUGGGGACUCCACAUGACCCCCUGAGCACUCUCUUUUUUGGGCGGACAGGUGCCCAGAGAGGCUGUGGCCUUGGUGAAACCAGUGACCAGCACCCCAAGGCCAUCCACGGGACCCACUCCAGGUGAGGGGCUAGGAGGGAGGAAGGGAGGAAGGAAGGGGCAGAGGGCUGUUGUCCAAGCAUGUGAGUAAGUCUGUGUGAGUGCAGGUGAGUCCUGGUCUGUGUGUCUGUGUCCCUGAGCCACGUGGACAUACCGUGUGGAUAUUUGUGUAAGUAUAUCAGCACUUAACUAACAGUGACUUCAGGCCAAACCCACUCUGGCCUUGCUACAUCCUCACUAAAAUCCUUCAAGGAAGUACCAUGUUUGUCUAGGUGUUACAGAUGGGAAAACAAAAACAGAGAGGUUAAGUGACUUGCUCAAGAUCACACAGCUCAAAAGUGUCAGACCAAGAUUAUAAACUCAGCCCUCAGGGGGCACUGGAUGGCUCAGUGGUUGAGUAUCUGCCUUUGGCUCAGGGCACAAUCCCAGGGUUUUGGGAUCGAGUCCCACAUCAGGCUUCCCUCAGGGAGCCUGCUUCUCCCUCUGCCUGUGUCUCUGCCUCUCUCUGUGUCUCUCAUGAAUAAAUAAAUAAAAUCUUAAAAAAAAAAAAAAAAA